AAUAGCCAUGCCCGUCCACGGAAGCCGAGGAGCAGCGCCUGAAGGAGAGGUGGUUCUCCAUGCAUCUCAGCUAUUAUUACAAGAUACUUUGAGAGCAACAGAGGAGCUCCUCAAUCAAAAGCGGGCACCUAAUCUUCAUGUGGCACAGAGACAGAAUCUCUGGGUGACGAUGCGGGUCACUGCCCUGUCUUUAGACAUAUCAAGGAAAGCAGCUGACGACAAGUCACUCAGAAAUUUAUUUGUAGAUGCAAGUGCUUAAAAAAUAGAAAAGAACCCUAGAAUCACAAGGCUGUUCGCACCUGGGUUGCUGUGAACCACGUCUCAGGAAAUAACAAAAGUUUUACAGACAAUAGGUUCGUGAUCAAUUCUCAGCCAGCCUGAUGGACUCACACUUUCUCCACUUCCCAGUGCACUGUGCCUCCCCACCCCCAGGCUGCCCACGAGGCUCCACUGCCCGCUGCCCAGCUCUGCUCUAUCUUGACCACACCUCACCUGGGUCGCUCCUUCCUGCAGAGCCCUGAGCUCCACGUCCUCACGCCUGAGUGAGCCUGAGAAGCUGGAGCGCACCCCUUAUCAUCUCUCUGGGGAACCAGCUAGACACAGCAGGACCUGUGUCCUGCUCAACCCCACUGGCCAUUUUCCCGGGUUUGUCCAGGGUCCCCUCCAAAGACUCUGCUGGCCCCAGUGGCUCCCCCUUACUGGAUAAAAGAAGGGCCUUUUCUGUUUGAAGUGCUUGCAGACCUAUGGUCACGGGGUCCUCUUGCUGCCAUCAUUCCUCUCCCUGCCUUACAACAAUCCUUCCAAACAAAGCCUCUCCUGACUAAGUCCUGGCUGUUUUCCUCUAACAGAGCUCACAACUUCCUUCACUCUGGGUGACCUGUCCCUCCUCCAUCUGAGAGAAGCCCUGGGGCGCUCCUCCCCAGUAGUUCACCCCAACCCGAAACCUGCUGAUUAUUGGAUGGCGAACAAAGCAAGACCCUCCCCUCUGCUCUUACGACCCCUCCCCUGCUACCUCAGCUCCAUCCCCUCCUCCUCAUUUCUACCAUCGCCCCUGAGGCUUCUGCUUCCUGUAGAAGGGCUGCCCAUAGGAGGAAGAAACAGGCCACCAGGUAACACACCCCUCCUGCGUUCUCAGGUGCCCUCUAACACUGCCCUUGGAUGGUCUUGCUUAGCGUGAAGGUAAGAAAGUAAGCCCUUUUAUAGAUGAUUAGCCCUGGCAAUGCCUGCCUGGAAAGAAAAGAAAGAAAACGAAAAACAGAUUGGACUUUGCUGGGGACCAAAAAUGAACAUUAAUUAAGCAGAAAUGUAACGUGUUGAACAAAACCGCGUUGUGUGGCCACGCAGAUGCUGAGGGACCCAGGAGGCCCAAUGACACCCCCUUCCUUGCAGAACAAAGAGAUUCAUGGCCACUGUGGGGGCCCCUUCUGUUAGACUGCACAGAGGCAGGGAUCUGGAGGUCUCCAAGAGUGGCCUCCUCCCUGCAACACCCUCCCUGCCCCAGAGGGGAAGGUAGUGGAUGGAGAUUGAGACCCUGCUGCUGACUGGCUCCCAGCCUGGGCUGGUUGCCUUUACUUCGAGAGCUGAGGUGGAAGCUCCAUAUGGCACUGACCUCUGCAAUGUUUCUCAUGUCCUUUGCCCCAUAUUCCUUCUGUAGUUCCAAGUCAAAUCUAAAUUAUAUGUCACCCUGAGAAAGCUGAGACCUAUUUGGUUUUUAGCUCUCUAAAAAUGCCCCUAUAUUAAAGAUCCUCUUAGAUCUCACUCUUAUUGAAACUUCCUCAAAUUUAAAAUCACACUGUUCAUUUGCAUAGACACUGUGAGGUGCAUAAAAGGCGAGGAAUGUGGCUUACAGUCACAUGUUUCAUAACAAUAAGUUUCCAGGCAGAAAAUUCCACAGCAACAUCAGAAGUUCAUUCCUAAGAAAAGCCAGGGACAGUUUGGUAAAUUCAGAUAACAGUCAUAAGGAGUUGCUUUAAAACUCAACAUUGAGGCAUUUCUAGGAAAGCCAUCUGCCUCUGGCUACAAUCCUACAGAGGACACUGUGUACAGCUCAGAAUGGGUCACCAUGACCGUUUCUCCUUGUGAUUGCCUUUAAUUCACAAACAGGCUCUGCACACACUGGAGGCCAUAGCACACACACUGGAGGCCAUGGCACACCACUUUGUGGACAUUGGUCAUCUGGGUGUCAGUCAUCUUUUGAAAUUAUCAGCAAAGUUGAAAAGAUAGUAAAUGCUUUGUUAACCCCUAAAGUAACACUCUGUAUAAACUUUGAGGAAGUCAAUAUGGUGAGCUGGUUGGGAAUUCUUGCUGAGAUACCAGGCAGCAGCAGUGCACCACCUGCCGGCCACAUGUGGGAGUCCCCCAGCCCAAUCGAGCCUUCGGAUGACAUGGCUCCCACCCACUCUCUGAUGGUACCUGCAGUGGAGGCCCCAACUGAGAAGCACUCAGCCGAGCCCAGUUGACCCCCAGAGCCACAAGAGAUUGUAAAUAAAUCACUGUUAAAGCCACCAUGACUCAAGGUGGUAGAUAACUGGGGCAGUUUUCUACUCUCAUUGUGCGCACAAAACUUCUGAAGUAAUGAACAUGUUUUUAAAAAACAAAACAAAUUAAAAUAAAAGCGUCAUUUGUUGGUUUUUACAAAACCCUCCCCAGGAAAGCCUAGAGUUAGCACAGGUGCUGAGAGUGGAGGGACAGGAAGAAGAAACCUACAACAAUGACAGCUGGCAGGCAGCCACAGGCUCACACCCAUUGCAAAAACAUAGACUACCGAGCCCAGCAGUGCUUGGAUCUGUGUUAUGUGGUUUGGAUCUAUAUCUUUUUCUUCAUAAAAAAGUUAAAAAAGGCUACUUAACAAAUUACAUCAGCAAAUUCUCUAGUAGGGACAAAAACACAUUUUAUAGGAGGAAGUACAAGCUGUGCUGACACCUUGAAUUUUGGAGUUUACGAAGAUGUCAAAUGGUGUAUCCUUCAAUGCUCACUGUAUAUGCUAAUACAUUUGGGCAUGGGGAGUCACUCUGUGUUAUUCUACCCCAUAAAGUAGCUGGCCUGAAAAUUACUCUCCCAAAUAGCCAGGAGAACACCUGUUAUAAAUUAUUUUUCAGAUACGAAUCAUUUUUUCAGAUAGUUACUAUGUACAGCACACAAGCUACAGAAAUAGUUAAAAGUAUGCCAUUUACUUCCCACCUUUUGGGAACUCAUAUAGUUGGAAAGUUGAGGCCUAAAUACAUGACAAUACAAGCCACAUGUGAUAUGCAGAGAGCCUACGUGUGACGGAUCAGUGAAGAAAUGCCACUGCGAGCGUCCAGUUCACAGGAGGGAGCACAGAGGAGCUCCUCCACCUCCAGCAUCCUGGACUUCAGGCUCUUCGUGAAAGGCUGGGACUCAGCCAGGAAGGCGACUCAGAUCUGACCAGCCCUCAGGAACAGCGCAGAAGUGGAGAGGAAUCAGUGAUGGAUGAUGGACAGCUCUCCCGCCACAGGAGGACGACAGGACUCACCCUCCACCCACCGCGGGAGGGGAGGGAACCCUCACCCACGGGACGGGUCAUCUCCUGCAGCAUUAUCUUCCUGGCUCUUCCUGUUGGACUCCCAGGAUUAGGGGGCCAACCCUCCCAGUUUUCCAGAGACUUCCCGGAAAGUAGAAACGUCUGUGCUAAAAUCAGGACAGUGCUGCCACAGCAGGAAGAGCAGCCACUCUGGGCCUAACGGAUGUGCAGGCGUCCGGGACUGGGAGGCGGUCGCCCUUCUCCUCUGCAAUGGUUAGGGUACCCCUGGGUGCCUCUCUGCUAGGGGGUGGCAUAGGCGGGAAGCCCUGACACCUGAGAAAGCAAGAGGGCCACUGGAAAUGAGGGGCGGGGUGCAGCGGAAGGCCGAGGGGGCGGCUGCCGUCAGUAUGUGAAGGGUGCCUGCAGGGAGAAAGAGCAGCUCUACUCUCAGUUGAAGCAAAAGGAAAACUUUGGCCAAAAGCCAUGCAGGUGGGAGGAGGUGGCUUGGGCUGGGAGAAGGGAGGACACAUUUCCCCGCAGGGAUCUGCCGCGCUGUGGGCUGAGAGGAGGGCCUCAGAGAAAGGCCCAGCUGCCUCCUGUGCUGGAAAGGGUGUCAAGCCAGAAAGGUCAAUUUGAUCUAAAACAGAAAGCGUCGGGGGUGCUGGAGAGAGAGAAUUCCCAAGAGGGAGCGAGGGCGGGGAGGCCCCGGUGAAAGACUCCAGAGGCUCUGGAGAGUUCGGGAAGGAGACAGCAGCAUAAGAAAGCGCUCCUUCUGGCUCCAGCACAACCUCUGGAAUGUUCUCCAGAGACAGAGCCAGGAGUUCCGCAUUCUCUCUCGUGAUCUCUUCUUGCAGUUGGACCCUGGAGCUUUUCAAGAAAGAAGACACAACAAUAACGCCCAUCCACGCCUGCUGGUGUGCUCCCUCCUGGCGGCAGCCACGGCUUCAGAAAUGAAUUCCACCUAACCAGUAGUCAUUCGCUUUAUAACGCCUGCGGAUCUUUGAACUAGGAGGAAAAUGGGGAGCUUUUCAUAGCAUCCCCUUUGAAAAAUCUUCUUUGAGGUCUCAAAUUUAAACUUCCAACCCUGACCAUGACAUUAUAGAUACAGCCUCAGUUUUGCAAAAUUUUAGCAAUAAAAGUGAGAAACUGACACAAGUAUGAGAAGAGACAUGAAAAUCAUAAUGGUGUUUGUAUAAGGAGGUAGAAAUAUAAGAAAUGUAAUUAUUAAAAAAUUCUCUUUGUACUUUCAUUUAAUAACAAAAUAAGUUGGUUGCAUAAUGAAACAGAAUUUCUAAGAAAAGCAAAAGGACUAAUUAUAGUGACUAUUAUGGAUAUCACUAAUUUUCACUGCUGGAAAAAUAACACCUUCUAGACGUUUCCAGAUAAACUGUUGUGUGAGUGCUGCCAUAGUCACAAUUUCUUUCUGUGUUAGUUUCCAGAACAGUGGACAAUACUAUUUUGCUUCAAGUCAGAUACAGAAAAUGGGGAAAAGACACUAGGUUUUUGGACAAGGCACCCUGCUUAAACACCAGGAAUGUGGAAAAAGAGGUAUUGUUGAACCAACAAGAUUUUUAUGAUGAAUGAAAUAGCUCUCAGCAGCUCUAAAACCGACUUCCAGCAGAAUCAGUUUUCCUCUGACUUACUUAAAAAUCUCCCAAUCAUAUUCCGCAAAGGCAUAAUUGACUGCCAGAAAGGACAGGUCUGCUCACAGAAUGAGGACCACAGAAAGCCUCUCUCGCCCUUCUGCAACAUCUAGAGGGCGCUGGGCGCUGGGGUCUGGCUGGCACACUCUCUGACCCAGCAGCCAACUGCGGGGUGGACCAGUGAGACCCCCAUCCAGUGUCUGAGGAGUGGGCAGCACAGCCCCCAUUAGCCCGCCGCUGUCUUGGCGAUGUAUGUCGGAGGAGACAGAUUCUUUACAGAACCUGAAGACUCAUUCUGACAAAAAGACCAAAGGAAAAUGACUGAUUUUAUUACGUAGUCAUUUAAUUACACUCACAAGGCUGAUUUUUUGAUUUACUAAAACAUCUGUUUGUCUACCAGAAAGAGAUCUGAAAGCCACAUUCUUUUUAGGUUGGGGAUCUCCUAUCAAAUGAUCUUGCCAUUGGAUAAUCACACAGAUUUAUGUGUCUAAAACCUCCUCCCUUGGAUCUGUGAAGACAUCCUCACCUCAGGUCCUCACUGGAUGCAGAGCUAAGGACGGGGCCUCCCCUGGGAUUUACAGCACUGCUCGGUGACCCAGAUUCAGAGUGCUAAUUUCCAUUUCUGUCUGCCGGGAACAGCCUCACUGACUUAUAAACUGCUACAGAAAUGAAAAAGGGUGACGUGUGCACGGUGACGUCAGAGCCACAGGCUGGUUACAGCAGCCGUCACAGCAGGCCUCGGCCAGGGGGCUCUGCAUAGAGAAGGGGGCCCUGCUCAUCUCCGUGCCAGGGUUUGAAAUUUAGGCCACUCAAUGGCAGUAACCCCUCCGAAAUAUGAAGUGAUGCCUCUGGACUGGGGUUUCCUAUGCCUGGAAGAAGGGUUUCCAAGUGCACUGUGAUUAUGAAUUGCCUCUCCUUGGGGUUCAAAUGUAGGUUCUGGGUGGAUAGACCAGGGCUGGGUCCUGCGGUCCUGUGAUUCUGAACUCCUCUCGAGGUCUACCACUGCUCAGAAGACCACCUGGGAGCAGGAGGGAGCUAGACCGUCUCAGCUAAGUCACGUGAUUUAUAACCCAUCAAACCACCAUCUCCACCAGCCCCUAGGAUUUCAGGCAGCUUGUGUGGCAGGAGGUGGGGACAGCACAGGGAGGAUGACGUCCUCAUGACAUAAGCCCGAUCAAGGGAAGGUGAGGAGGGAGAGGCAGAAGCUGCCGGAGAGUCCUCCUACACCCAGCUCUAGGUCAUGCGCCGGCUGCCGAAGGGCCCUGCUUUGCAUCUUGAUCCUGUCUGCUGCGAUGCGGUUGUCAGAGCCCAGAGCCGUGUCUGUCACGGUUGUGUGACCUGGUCCACCCACCCUGCCCUAACGAUCUCUGCUCAUAAGAUCUCAUGUCUAUUUUAUCCUGGAACCUCUUCCUUGCCCUGCCCUUUUUCCUUUCUUUGUUCCAUUUUCCCUUUCUUCAUCUAUCCAUCUUCUCAUUCUACCCCCCAAAAUAGGAGUGCUUUAAAAAGUAAAGAGGAAUGCAUGUCUUGCCUAGAUGCCCCAUCCUCUCUAACGCAGUCAUCUGAACGCUGAAGGAUGCGCUGCAUAUUUACUGUAUUUUACUCAGCAACACAGCAAUGUCCAACCAACAUUUUGGUCUUGGGGAAGCCUAUUCCAAAUUAAUUUUCAACUAAUCAUUUUAAACAUUUAAAACUUGGGAUCUGAUGGGUGAAAAUAUUGCUAAGACAUGUGAUGAGAUUUCUGGCUGUCUCCAGGGGAGCUGGGCGUCGUCCAACCCUGCCUGGGCCCCAUUCGUGGAGCCGCUGGGGACGUGUGCUUUCUCAUCUGCAGCAGCACACCAAAUUCCACACUGAGAUCCUUCCAAUACUUGGAACUACAGUAUCUGCUUCCGCAUUAAAUGGGCCCAUGUGAGGUCUACUGAGUUGCCCUCUCUGUGUUUUGGGGUUCUUCCAGCCCACCUCUUGACUGCACCUGGCUGUCUGCCAUUCCUCAUCACUUCCAGCGUGCCUGACUCCAGCAGGUGACAUUCCCACUGAAUGUGCUGCUUCCAAUAAGCUCUGGGCUGGGAAACCAAACAGCCCCCCCUUAUCAGAACUGUGCCUAAAAUAAGAGCCAGUGUAUCUGAAUGUGCACCUGAGGGUCUCCCCUGGGAGAAAAACACACCAAGUUUGGGUACAGGCUUCGUGGUAUCUAUUUUGGUGCAGAGUCUCUUUGGGUUCAUUUCCUCUUUCUCAGGCUGCCUUAGAGGUUGAUAUUAUUAGAUAAGAGAGCUCCAGGUAAGUCAGGCCUCAGAGGGUUCAGAUGUUUAAUUAGAGAAGACAUAAUGCAAAAUUACAACAAGUGCAUCCGAGAUUGUUAUACAAAUGGAAUCGCAGUAUUGUUAAAUGACAUAAAUGCAUUCACCCACAACACAGUGAAACUGAUUGUCACUGGUUUAUCACUUUCACUUGGGAGACAAUGCUAUCACUAGAACUCCUUCUGAUGCAUUGCAGCAUCAAGAAUUCUCUUGAAGCAGACCCAUCAGUGUAUCCAGAGACACACGUUCCAGACACAUCUGUGUAUUCCACGAGGCUGGCUCUGGGCUUCUCUGUGUCUCCCCCACCUCACCCCAUCCCACCUUCGUCAGCACGCUGUGGCUCUUUCCUCCCUCCUGGGAUGUCCUUCUCACCUGUGAUGCCGCCUGCUGCCCUUGUUCAUCCCAACCUCCCUGCACAAAGCCAGCCCCUCCACCGAGCCUCAUUCAUGUUAGAUCCACCAGCACCCCCCAUUCUGCAGCAGCCACAGCCCCCAGGGUGAGAAGUUUGGGAGACAUGUUCCAUUUUGGUCUGUGGGAUCUGCAUUUCUUCCUUAUAGUUAUGGCUCAUAGAGAUGACUGCUCUUUCAAAGGUGGUUGUGGUCUAUUAGAGCGUUUCCAAUGUCCCCAUACUUCUUUCUCGAGUGCUAGUCAAAAGCGACUUGCAGAUGGUAUGGAAUGUC
Molecule: long non-coding RNA, 8098 nt
Filed under: Homo sapiens (human)
Lineage: Eukaryota; Metazoa; Chordata; Mammalia; Primates; Hominidae
Description: HSALNT0338479
Source: RNAcentral